UACGAAGGGGGCAAGCGUUGUUCGGAAUUACUGGGCGUAAAGGGCGCGUAGGCGGCCCGCUAAGUCGAACGUGAAAUCCCUGGGCUCAACCCAGGAACUGCGUCCGAUACUGGCGGGCUUGAAUCCGGGAGAGGGAUGUGGAAUUCCAGGUGUAGCGGUGAAAUGCGUAGAUAUCUGGAGGAACACCGGUGGCGAAGGCGGCAUCCUGGACCGGUAUUGACGCUGAUGCGCGAAAGCCAGGGGAGCAAACGGG
Molecule: ribosomal RNA, 253 nt
Filed under: uncultured bacterium
Lineage: Bacteria
Description: partial 16S ribosomal RNA
Rfam family: Bacterial small subunit ribosomal RNA
Source: RNAcentral